ACGCACGCUGGCGGCGUGCUUAACACAUGCAAGUCGAACGGAAAGGCCCUGCUUUUGUGGGGUGCUCGAGUGGCGAACGGGUGAGUAACACGUGAGUAACCUGCCCUUGACUUUGGGAUAACUUCAGGAAACUGGGGCUAAUACCGGAUAGGAGCUCCUGCUGCAUGGUGGGGGUUGGAAAGUUUCGGCGGUUGGGGAUGGACUCGCGGCUUAUCAGCUUGUUGGUGGGGUAGUGGCUUACCAAGGCUUUGACGGGUAGCCGGCCUGAGAGGGUGACCGGCCACAUGGGGACUGAGAUACGGCCCAGACUCCUACGGGAGGCAGCAGUGGGGAAUAUUGCACAAUGGGCGGAAGCCUGAUGCAGCAACGCCGCGUGCGGGAGGACGGCCUUCGGGUUGUAAACCGCUUUCGCCUGUGACGAAGCGUGAGUGACGGGAAUGGGGAAAGAAGCACCGGCUAACUACGU
RNAcentral lists this ribosomal RNA (466 nucleotides) under uncultured bacterium. RNAcentral describes it as "partial 16S ribosomal RNA". It matches the Rfam family "Bacterial small subunit ribosomal RNA", at positions 29 to 506 of the family's 1533-position model. The record is from RNAcentral.